Cyanistes caeruleus (blue tit) is the source of this 705-nucleotide long non-coding RNA. RefSeq lists it as uncharacterized. The record is from RefSeq and is a predicted model, not a curated record. NCBI's taxonomy places the organism in Eukaryota, Metazoa, Chordata, Aves, Passeriformes, Paridae.
CCGGCAGGGCUGGCAGCACUGUUGUGCUGUCCCACACAGAAGAUGUCUCUGACUGUUCCCUGCAUCUGAAAAGAUGACUCCAGAAAAGAAAACUGAGAGAUAAGAGCAGCAGCAGAGGGACAUGAAACAUAUGUGCCUUUCUACCAUAUCCUUUCAGAUUCCUAGAGGCUAAGGGUUUUUUGGUUUGGUCUUUUUUCUUCUUCUUUAAUUUUUUGAUGCUGUGGAAACAUCUUGGAGAGAGAAAAAAAUUCUUUCUGAAGACUGAGGGAAUUUUCUAAGGUUCUCACAAGGUAUUGAAAGACAAAGCUGCUCUUCUUCUCCAAGCAAGAAUGCUGCAUCUGUGAGCUGCUAAACCAUGAUCUCCCACCUUUUUUUUUAAAGAGACAGGAGGAGCACACAGCAGGGACAUUGAGACCAGUGGCUCUGGAACUUGCUGCACCACAGAGUAGUACCAGUGGAAAACUUCCUACAGGUUUUAGAGCUUCAGACUGGGGCCACAGAGAUGAUAUCUCCAAGCAAGGAGCCAACCUGGCCUCCUUUCUGCUGUCAAUUAUUUACAUUCAGAGAGGAAGAACUGUCCUGGUGUUCUGGGCCAGGUGCUGAGCCAGGUUCGGAUUUCUGGAAGUGAGACCUCUUCCUUAAGUAACUGCAAAAAGGAACACGAACACAAAACGCAGAUCUGAUGUAAAAGAAUAAAGUUAUAAU